GAUGAACGCUGGCGGCGUGCCUAAUACAUGCAAGUCGAGCGAACGGACGAGAAGCUUGCUGCUCUGAUGUUAGCGGCGGACGGGUGAGUAACACGUGGAUAACCUACCUAUAAGACUGGGAUAACUUCGGGAAACCGGAGCUAAUCCCGGAUAAUAUUUUGAACCGCAUGGUUCAAAAGUGAAAGACGGUCUUGCUGUCACUUAUAGAUGGAUCCGCGCUGCAUUAGCUGGUUGGUAAGGUAACGGCUUACCAAGGCAACGAGGCAUAGCCGACGGGAGAGGGUGAUCGGCCACACUGGAGCUGAGACACGGUCCAGACUACUAAGGGAGGCAGCAGUAGGGAAUCUUCCGCAACGGGCGAAAGCCUGACGGAGCAACGCCGCGUGAGUUAUGAAGGUCUUCGGAUCGUAAUACUCUGUUACUAGGGAAGAACAUAUGUGUAAGUAACUGUGCACAGCUUGACGGUACCUAAUCAGAAAGCCACGGCUAACUACGUG
Molecule: ribosomal RNA, 497 nt
Filed under: uncultured bacterium
Lineage: Bacteria
Description: partial 16S ribosomal RNA
Rfam family: Bacterial small subunit ribosomal RNA
Source: RNAcentral